CUUUUUUUUUUUUUACGAAUAAAGAUUAAAUUAGUGUUUGGCAUUAUUGUACUUUGCAGAAAAAUAAACAGGGACUAUAUGACGCAUAAUUGCAAUUAAUUAGUCUCUUGCAUGUUAUAAUGAAAAAAGGUUCUUGUUAUAUUUACUCCACUUUAGACCUAGAACCCAUGACUUAAUGUGAUAUCCUUUAAGACCUGGCUUGAUAGACACUCUCAUUCUAAGUAGCUGGACUAAUUCAUUUUGUUUAGGCCAUAAGCUAAUAUAGGCUUCAUCCAUGCAUUUAUUAUUUUACAAAUUAAUCUCAUAUUAGUAAUAUGGAGAUAAAUUUAGUUUAUUUAGUAUUGGUGUUAACGAUAUGACUGUAUAAAUAAUAUAGAUCUAUAUUUUGCUAAUACCUACAUUAUGUGUCUCUGAUGUUCAACCAAUGUCUUUCUUAAUAUAUUUUACUCGAUGUAAAAAAAAC
Molecule: non-coding RNA, 463 nt
Organism: Biomphalaria pfeifferi
Lineage: Eukaryota; Metazoa; Mollusca; Gastropoda; Planorbidae
Source: the annotation of a GenBank genome assembly